UCCGUAGGCGGUGUGGCAAGUCGGUAGUGAAAUCUCUCGGCCUAACUGAGAGGCUGCUGCCGAAACUGCCAUGCUCGAGUGCGAGAGAGGCGAGUGGAAUUGCGGGUGUAGCGGUGAAAUGCGUAGAUAUCCGCAGGAACAUCCGAGGCGAAAGCGGCUCGCUGGAUCGCAACUGACGCUGAGGGACGAAAGCUAGGGGAGCAAACAGGAUUAGAUACCCUGGUAGUCCUAGCCCUAAACCAUCAGGACUUGGGGUUUGCCCUGUACGGGGCAAGUCCCGGAGCUAACGCGUUAAGUCCUGCGCCUGGGGAGUACGGUCGCAAGGCUGAA
This 330-nucleotide ribosomal RNA is filed under the name uncultured bacterium. Its description in RNAcentral is "bacterial SSU rRNA". It matches the Rfam family "Bacterial small subunit ribosomal RNA", at positions 568 to 898 of the family's 1533-position model. The record is from RNAcentral.